Molecule: ribosomal RNA, 234 nt
Filed under: uncultured bacterium
Lineage: Bacteria
Description: partial 16S ribosomal RNA
Rfam family: Bacterial small subunit ribosomal RNA
Source: RNAcentral
CGUAGGGUAAUCUACCUUCGGAUGGGGAAUAACAAUCGGAAACGGUUGCUAAUACCGCAUAAUGCAGCGGCACCUAAUGGUGACAGUUGUUAAAGCGGGGGAUCGAAAGACCUCGCGUCUGAAGAGGAGCCUGCGGCGGAUUAGCUUGUUGGUAAGGUAACGGCUUACCAAGGCGACGAUCCGUAGCCGGCCUGAGAGGGCGGUCGGCCACACUGACACUGACAUACGGGUCAG